AGAGUUUGAUCCUGGCUCAGGAUGAACGCUGGCGGCGUGCCUAAUACAUGCAAGUCGAACGGAGAUUGUAGCAAUACGGUCUUAGUGGCGAACGGGUGAGUAACGCGUUGGUGACCUGCCCCGAAGUGUGGGAUAACAGCCCGAAAGGGUUGCUAAUACCGCAUGUGGUUUUUCAGAUUAGAUGCCGGAUUUCUAAAGGAGAAAUUCGCUUCGGGAGGGGCCUGCGUCCCAUCAGCUAGUUGGUAGGGUAAAAGCCUACCAAGGCGAUGACGGGUAGGGGACCUGAGAGGGUGGCCCCCCACAAUGGAACUGAAACACGGUCCAUACACCUACGGGUGGCAGCAGUAGGGAAUAUUGGUUAAUGGGCGAAAGCCUGAACCAGCAACGCCGCGUGUGCGAUGACGGCCUUCGGGUUGUAAAGCACUUUUUGAGGGGAUGAGGAAGGACAGUACCCUCAGA
This 459-nucleotide ribosomal RNA is filed under the name uncultured bacterium. RNAcentral's name for it is "bacterial SSU rRNA". It matches the Rfam family "Bacterial small subunit ribosomal RNA", at positions 8 to 485 of the family's 1533-position model. The record is from RNAcentral.